This 4776-nucleotide long non-coding RNA is filed under the name Sus scrofa (pig). RNAcentral describes it as "lncRNA (ENSSSCG00035029753.1)". The record is from RNAcentral. Lineage: Eukaryota; Metazoa; Chordata; Mammalia; Artiodactyla; Suidae.
UCUCUCCCUUCAUCUCCUCACCUCCUCUCCCCUCCCAAAAUACUAGCCUUUGAGAGUCUAUAUAUGUUAAUUUUGUAGAUGAAGACCAAAACGUAAAUAGUGCACACUUGACUACUGGACAUCACUAAAUGGGUCACUUCUGAGGAACGGAGAUCCUUUGACCAGUGAAAAGAGCUAAUGUCAGACAGGGAGUCAUUCACCACAACAUCCUCCUUUUAUUUAACAUGUAAUAGUGGUGAAAGAAACCAUUUAAGGCAGGUCUACAUUGGCAAUGAAAAAUAAAUCAAGCAGUUCUCUGGAAAAAUCAGCAGCUAUUUCUCUUUAGUUUGUUAGCAGACAACAUUUUUUGAAAACUGAAGUAUUUGACAUAUUUAGACUAUGUAGAUAUGAUGUAGAGCUUUUACUUACAAGCCAGAAAAGACAGCUAAAAAAAUACGACCUCCGUAUUUCUGGAAAAAAAAUGCACAGAUUGAAAUGAUUCAAACCGUGAGCCAUUUUAACUAAAGGCGUUAUUGCACUGCUUCUGAUCUUUUGGGGCUAGAUGUUGAGUAAGCAGUUUACAGUUACUUUUGUACCACGGCCUAUGUAGGUGACGCUGUGACAUAAUGCGCUGACAUAAUAAAAGACAAUCACUCUGGUGAGCUUUUAAAAGCAGCAGACACAGAAGUCAACAUUGAGUUUUCACAUAAGCUAUGUAUAGACAGGUCAUAAAUACAUUUAGUGAGCUGGUUGGGCAGCAUAAUGCUUUAUCUGAAUACUAUUUAAUAAGCUAGGGACUUCAUUUUUUGAGAAAACAGGUAGGAAUACAGUAUUAGUUAAGCUGUAACUAAAUAGUAACAAGAUCAAAACUGUCAUGCAAUUAUGCUUUAGAACAUGGAUUAUUUUUUAAGUAUCAUAAUACUCUGAAUGAAACCCCAAACUAAAUAAUGUGUUAUAUGAAAGCUUUCAUAAAAUUACUAGCCCAAAACAGCAAAAACAAAAUAAAAAACAAACAAAAAUGCUUAUUAAAAUUAAAAUCAAACUAUUAUUUUCAGCUUACCAAUGAUGAAUAUUGGAUACUUUAAAGGUGAAAUUUUAGCAUAUUUUGGAUGUUCCUUUGUGGUGUCAAUGGACAAUCUACCCAAAGUAAGUCUGUCUUUCCAGGGUUACAGUUAAUUUCCUCCCUCUGGUUGAACAGUGAUCAGCCUGAUUUGGUUGGAGUAGUUGCAUUUAGUCAGUGUAAGGACUAGAGGUGCUGCAUUAUAUGUAGUCCUUGGUCAUCACCAAUAAGAAAUAAGGGCUCUAGCUAAAUGUUUGUGACUUGGCAUUAUAAAUAAAUUGAAAUAGAAAGUGAGCCCCCUCCUCUGUUACUUUUCUUGGUCACUAAGAUUUGAACAUCAAAAAAAAAAAAAAAAAAAGGGAAAACAAGACUCUGAUGAAAUCCAAUGCUGGUCCAUACUCUAGAUUCUAAAAACACAAUUUAAUGAAGAAUUUUUUAAUAUUGAAAGUUUUUGCUCUCCUUUCAGAGUUUAAUCUGGCCAAUAGCCAAUUACAAUAAUUCUGGAACAAAAUUUGAUUAUGAAUUACUUUAUGAAAUAGAUCCUUAGGUUUACAAAUAUUUAAAGCAUAAAAAUGGAACAGUAUAUUGAACAUUUACAUGGACUAAGUGUGUUUAAAUUUGUAGUAAUAUGGAUGGUAAUACCUAUAAAGUCUUAGUAAUUACAGGAAGGUGAUUUUUCUCUAGGGGAAAUUGACAUUUGUCUACUAAACAUUAAAAAUCUAAGGCUGUUAGGCAAAAACCUGCAUUACAUAAGUUUUCAUAGCAUAUUAUUUGUCCAAAUAAGGUCAAACCUCUUUUUAAAGCCACAUGAAAUGGCUUUGUAUAUUAUACAGGUAUAUAUAAAUUAGCAAAUAAAAUGCUAUCUAUUUUAAGGUAACGGUGAGUAAAAAAAAUCUACAUUUAUACUGACACACACAUUUAAUAUUUUGACUGCCUGGAAGCCACAGAAGAAUUUUAGAAGACUAAGUAACACAUAAAUGUGAGCUGAAUGCUUUCUUUUGGAAUAUUUAUUUAUUUAUUUAUUUUUGUCUUUUCUAGGGCCACACCCACUGCAUAUGGAGGUUCCCAGGCUAGGGGUCUAAUCGGAGCUGUAGUCAACGGCCUGCGCCAGAGCCACAGCAAUUUGGGAUCCAAGCUGUGUCUGCGACCUACACCACAGCUCACAGCAAUGCCAGAUCCUUAACCCACUGAGCAAGGCCAGGGAUCGAACCCACAACCUCAUGACAUAUCAAUUUCAAAUGACCACCUAAAGGUAUUUUUACAUAAAAAAUUAAAAAACUCCUAAUUCAAAUAUGAAUUAUUUCUCAUUGGAUGUAAAAUUAAGUACAAUUUUUCAAUAUGGGCAUCUUUCUACCCCUAGUAUCUUCUGCUAAAGUUUUGUUUAAAUUGCCAUCAUGAUUUUGGCCAAGAACCCUAUAAAACUACCAUCCUAAUAUUAGUUUUCCCUGAUUAAAAUGUUUGUUACCAUUGAAAAUGAUUAAAAGGGUAAGGUUGGUACUUUCCUUUUGUAGACUGUCUGGAAAACAGACAGACUAAUCAGUUACAUACAAAAUUUAGUGAAAGUUUGCAUUUAGAAUGAUAUCUUAGGAUAAUUUAGUGAACUGGACACCACUUUUCUCAUCGACUUCAUUAUUUAUCUUCGAAGUUCAAGAAAUGAAUAAAGGCUUUAAAAUUAUUGUUCUUUUGUUAAUAGUGGGAGAAAAAUAUCGUGUCAUUGCUUUGUUGGUUAAAUCAUAUGAUGACACGGUGUAGAGACUGUUCCUUUGUUAUCAGGCUUCUCUAAGGUUUUUGACCACCUGGAUAGUCUCUUGCUACACUUGGCUUUGGGCUCCAAGUUGCUACUGCUAAUGGCUCAUUUGGUCCUGCCCUUGACUUGACAGUGAAGUCCUGUAUAUACAGUUAGGCCCUAGGGAAGAAUUGCUAGUGGAUACUGCAGAUAGGAGAGGAAUGAAAAAUCUUGAUGACAAGAUCUGAGAUUUGAUCCAAAAAAAUCUGUUUCCAAACCAAGAUGAUGAAACUUGGAUAGAAAGUUGAAGGGAGUGAGAGAGAAGACCAAGUCACUUCUGCAAAUGGUCUCCACUGCAUCCCAGGGCACAGAAGAUAAUAGUAGUAAGUCGUCCAACAAUUCCCCCCUUUAAGCCUGUUCUUUCACUUGUCCUCACUUCUUCAAACAAAACAAAGCAAGGCAGCUGGCAUACAAGCAACAAUAUAAAACAGAAAAGCUUUCAAAUUGAAAGCAAGGCGCUAAGAACAGACGUAGUCAUUAUGCAGUUAAAUGAAAGGUUAUUAAAAAUGCUUCAGUGUGCUAAUGGUACCUUAUAUUUGCUUAACAAACCUAUUUUAUACAUUCACUGUUGAAUUUUUAAUGGUUUAAUAUCAUACCUCUUUAAAAUUGUAUAAGUUUGAAACUUGGCUGUUGUAUGACAAAACCUAGUGUUUUGUAAGUUGCAGGUUUUUCUUUUUCUUUCUUUGGCUUUGAAAUAAAUAGGAAGAUUUUUGCAAAUUCUUUAGUGAGAUUUUUGUAGUAUGUACAUAUUCGUUAAUUCUGGUGAGAGUAUUUUGUUGGAUAAGUAAUUUGGAUAAUAUUAGUACAUAUUACUUUCUGUGUAUCUGUUUUCUUUACAAAAAUCCUCCUAAUUUCAGUUAAACAUUAUGAUGUGAGUAUAAUCUGUAGGUUAAAGUUAUAGCCUAACCCAUGUGCUGCAAAUAAGAAUGUUAGAAGCAUCUUGGUUUAAAGAUGGCAGAAAUCUGGCUGUAAUAGCAUUUCUGGCUAGUACUCACAGAUAUGGUUUGGAAGUUUAGAAACCACCUGCUUCUUCACCAGGGUCAAUUCAAGGGUAUUUCACGUUCUACUUGUAAUCUUCAAGGGGAAUGAAGACUGAGGGUUUAUCCUUACAGAUCUGUGAUUCUUAAAAAAAAAAAAAAAAAAAAAAAUCAUUGUUUUGCGUUCUCUUCUGCCUUUACACUAAUGGCAGAAAGGUCAAAAUAGCAUUUACUACUGUGUAUCCAGACUACAGACUAGAACACUGUUAAAUAUUUAGUUAGACUUGAGAUUUUGUUUUGAUUUGGAGGUAGCUUGGUAGGAAUAUUUUGAAAGCACUGUUCAGAAGGCAGUAAGAGUUUUAUCAGAUGUUUUGGAAUAUGAAAAAGCAAACUGAGAGGUGAUCGCUGGAAAAAAUAUCUGGGACAUAGUUGUGAUUUUUAACUAUAUGCACAGGUGGAACAUGUUUACGAAUUUUUUAAGUCCUCCUUACUAUAGCCUUUCCACUGGCCUCUCAAACUUACCACUAGAGGGCGCGCAACAUAGAGACUAAGAAGCAGGAUGGCUGGCUCCUGACAUCCUUUCUGAGUCUGUGCAUUUACCUCUUUCUUUAGCCGCUGUUCUGUGUCUAUUUCCCUGAGUCUUAUUCUGAAAGCCUAUUUUUAUGUUUGGCAUUGAAUUUGAAAUCUUUUUAGGUUGAAAUGGAGCAAAAAUAACUAAAAGGAAAACUAUUCAGUUAUAUCACUUGCUACCAUUGCCCACAGUGGAUAAAUAAACUACUGUGUUCAGAUCGGCAAUAAGCUUUCCUUACAUCAACAAGUAGUGAUGGCUUCUAUCAUAACAUAGGCUAUGGGUUUAAAUAAAUCAAACAAAACAGUUAUGGGACUAUAAAAACAAUUAUUUUCUACAUCAUUUUUGCUAGAAUCCUAUGUCCUUUAGUGGAACUGGGUAAUGUCUACAUUGAAAUAAAUUGUCC